GUGCCAGCAGCCGCGGUAAUACAGAGGUCUCAAGCGUUGUUCGGAUUCAUUGGGCGUAAAGGGUGCGUAGGCUGUGGGGUAAGUCUGGUGUGAAAUCCCGGGGCUCAACCCCGGAACUGCACUGGAUACUGCUUUACUAGAGCACUGGAGAGGGAACUGGAAUUUACGGUGUAGCAGUGAAAUGCGUAGAUAUCGUAAGGAAGACCAGUGGCGAAGGCGAGUUCCUGGACAGUUGCUGACGCUGAGGCACGAAGGCCAGGGGAGCAAACGGGAUUAGAUACCCCGGUAGUCC
RNAcentral lists this ribosomal RNA (292 nucleotides) under uncultured bacterium. Its description in RNAcentral is "partial 16S ribosomal RNA". It matches the Rfam family "Bacterial small subunit ribosomal RNA", at positions 505 to 796 of the family's 1533-position model. The record is from RNAcentral.